RNAcentral lists this long non-coding RNA (428 nucleotides) under Zonotrichia albicollis (white-throated sparrow). RNAcentral describes it as "lncRNA (ENSZALG00000015355.1)". The record is from RNAcentral. Lineage: Eukaryota; Metazoa; Chordata; Aves; Passeriformes; Passerellidae.
AAAGAAAAUUAACUGUUUACCUGUUUUACAGGUUUUAGUUUUUUUCUUGCAACUAAACAGUUUUGCAGAAUAUUUGCAUUGUUUCAAAAACAUUAUACUUUGACACCAUCUUAGAUUGAAGUUACUUGGAUUUUCUCCAUGUUUUUAGAUUUUGUUGUGACUCACAGAGGUAGUGGUUAAACUCCUCUUCUCCUGGCACGACCUCCCCACUUCAAGCAUGUUUUUUUUAUGGAAGAAUAUAAAUUUGUGAACUCAUGAGUUUAUAUUCAGUCAGCAAGAUGGACCACUAAACUUGAGAACACUACAGAAAAUACAAUAGACAUGAAAGCCUGAAGAGCAUAAUGGGGAGACGGAAAGUUUUAAAAUAAUCAGCAAAUUGAAAGCCAAGCGGUCUCACUUUCAUCACAGGAUAUUCGAAAAUCUGGCAU